Molecule: RNase P RNA, 258 nt
Filed under: Filamoeba sp.
Lineage: Eukaryota; Evosea; Variosea
Description: Nuclear RNase P
Rfam family: Nuclear RNase P
About the family: Ribonuclease P (RNase P) is a ubiquitous endoribonuclease, found in archaea, bacteria and eukarya as well as chloroplasts and mitochondria.
Source: Rfam by way of RNAcentral
UUACACACGGAGAUGGUCAGCACGCCUGAAUUCAUGCUCAGAGAAAGCGCUUGGGAAGGUCUGAGAAGGCCGAUUUCCCUUGGUGGGAAUGUCACGAAAGUACUACUUGGGGACCAGCAAUGAUACCUGCUGAGGGUAAGCACAAGAUCUCAGUGCCGGGUGGUGCUGGGUGAUGCGUUAUCAGCCCUUAGCUUGGUUGGAACAACCCGAGAGGCCCAAAUCAUCAAAGUUCAAUACACAAGGUGGCUUCAAGCCAUA